AAUGGUUAAAUUGGCACAUUUCAUGUUCUUUUUUUUUAUAACAGUAAUUAAUAAAUUAUAAAAGGAAGAAAAAAAAAGGAAGAAGACACCGCCAGGCACAGUGUGGGGUGGGCUGUGACACCCAAUGGUGGCUCACCACUCAGCCCCCGAGGAGGACGGACUCCUGCAGGUGGGGGCAAGUGACAGCGGCCUGCACUACGUCCACAGGGCAUCAACUGGACAGCAGCUUGACUCUACUGACAGACGCAGCCUCCUCCUGGACAACGUUGCCUGGACACAGUGGCCUCUAUGUUUUGCUGUGGACAGUGACACCAAGGACACUCAACCGUUCUCUUAGCCUCCCUUAGGCUCUCCAGAAAGUGUCACCCGACACUCGGGCUGCACAGCCUAACCCCCAGUGUCACCUGGGCACAGUUUCACUAGUUGUCCUUAUCACCAGGACCCACUCACCUAGCACAGCCUGCAGCAGAGCCUGGAACCAGUAGCUUCUCACCUCCUGGCCUCAAGGAAAUGUCAACUGAAGUCAGCACUUAACCCCUAUAGUGGCCUGGGGUCCCUCAGCCCGCUUGUUUUUUAAAAUAAAAUGUGUAGUCUUA
Long non-coding RNA from Canis lupus familiaris (dog), 596 nucleotides. RefSeq lists it as uncharacterized. Lineage: Eukaryota; Metazoa; Chordata; Mammalia; Carnivora; Canidae. The transcript is spliced from 2 exons. The record is from RefSeq and is a predicted model, not a curated record.